Molecule: long non-coding RNA, 2208 nt
Organism: Calidris pugnax (ruff)
Lineage: Eukaryota; Metazoa; Chordata; Aves; Charadriiformes; Scolopacidae
Exons: 4
Source: RefSeq, a predicted model, not a curated record
CGUCCCGUCCCGCCUGACGCCCCUCGGGCCUUCGCCCCCUCUCUCCCUCCCUCAGCGGGGGAGAGCGGGGCGGUGGUCCCGGUGCGUGUAGGGCAGGGUGGUUGCUACCUCCAUAAAAUGCACCUGCCCCCUAGCGCAGUUCCCUCCCUCCCCCCACAUGUGUUACUACAGCGUUACUCCGUAAAGCCCCACUUACCCUAAUUUAAUCGUCUCCCCCCUCCGUCCCGCUUCCUUGUACCUUGUCAAUGGCCACCGUUAACCCCCCGGCCUUCACAGCUCUUCCCAAGCUGACGGAGGGGUGAGAGAAGAGUGACUGUAAAGCCUGACGCACCCAUCUGCUUGCGUGCGCUUGGCGGGUCUCCAUCAAAGUAGGUUACCUCAUAAAUGCACUGACUCGGCUGGAUUUUCACCCUAAGUGGAGUCACGGAUGGCUUACCUGAGUAACGGGGAUGAGCAGCGAAGAGCAGGGAUGAGUAAUGGUGGUUGGCUUGUGGGGCUUCUCCCGGCGCACCCAGGGCUGGCUGCUGCCACGGCGUCUUGGAGAUCACCUGGACCUCUCUGCUGCUCCUGUUUCUUACCCUGAACCAAAGCCAUGAUGAGUUUUGGAUCCAACCCUGAAUUCUUCCCCUGAGGCCCAUCUUUGCUUUGUACGAAUGACAGAAAAAUUGUAUAUUUCUAGUUUUUAUUACCAGAGAAAGCAUACCUCUUACUGGCAUACACAGAACUGCAUGUAAAUGACCACUGAGUAGGUGUCACUUAAAUCUUAGCAGAUAUACAACAGAGCUCUGACACUGUAAUGCUGACCUUUACCAAAUGAUCCUAUCGUUUUGGUGACCAACACCCUAAUGACUCUGCUGUACUGGAAUUUGUAGCACAGCCCAGAUAAGGCCUGGAUCAUUUCUUUAUGAACAAGCAGCAUAUUCCUUCUAAAAAGUAUUGUUAUCUGACAGUUUCUUCUGCAAAUUUCACUGCAGCUGACUAUUAUUUUUCUUAAGUGCUGCUACUUAAAAGUAACCUAUAAAAAUUAGGGAAUAAAUAAUAGAGAUUUUAAACAAAUUUAAUAAUAAACAAGCUAUUCCACCGGUAUGUGUGCUACAUGGUGAAAUUAUACUGCUAGACUUAAAUGAAAUAUAUGGUUUGUAUUUAGAACUCUUAAAUGUUCCGUAAAGUUUAAGUCGUCUUAAAUUUUCAAUACGGCAGAAUGGAGAUUUGUUAAAAUAAUUGCCUCAUGUCGGUAUAGAUUCCAAACCUUUUUAUUACAAAUUCCUUUCAAAAAUCUUUCGAUGGGCAAGACAGUCUAUAUGCUGGAAUAUAGACAAUACAAGACCACAAUAAUGGCAGUAGUUUUGUCUUUGUGUGGAAUAGAAGAGAUAUGUUGAUCCACAUUGAUUUGCGUGCUCUUCUUGUAAAAGACUUCUCUGCCCUUUUGCACAUAAAGUUGUUUCUUAUAUGCUCUAUAUAGCUAAAAUUCCAAAGGAAUUAAAUUUACUAUUAAUUGCACACACAAAACAUGUAAAAUUGAGUGCAAAUUUUGCAACCAAGUACACAAAAUGAAAGCUGGUUCUUUUCUGUUUAAUUAUAUUACUUAAGUAUCCACGUCUCUUUGUCAAAAGUUAAUUAAUUGCUCUCUUGAUUUGCAGUAGGUUAUGUUCCUGGGUACUAAUUCUUCUCGUAAACCAGUGAUGAGGAAUAUCCCCUAAUACACCGUACUCCUCUGGUGACCUUGUGUUGCUUCCUCUAAAAUGAGGAAAAAAAUCCUAAGAAUGUCAAUAGAAGCAAGAUCACCACCCAUUUUGGCAAAGCCAAGUCUUGCUCAGGAGCAUGCCACACAAAGAAAAUGUUUCUGAAGCAAUUAUGUGCUUUACACUUUUGUGUAGGAAAACCCAAGGCCUGAGUUAGUGCCGGGAUUCCUCUUUCUAUAUCAUAAGGAUCCAGCCCAAACCACGACAUGUUAGUUAGGAUUCUAUCAGAGUAAUGUAAGGUUGAUGCUUUUAGACUGACAUGCAUAGGUUGGUUGGGGAAAAUGUAACUAUUUUUUUCUGUGUUUUAUAAGCAUGCACCUUUUCCUGGGUGGCAAUUACCUCAUCCUUACUCAGACACCUGAAGUUUGAAAUCAAUGUGGAAAGCUUUUCCACACUGCUUUUCCAUGUUGCCCUACCACGUUCAUCUUCUUUUCCUAAGUCAGUACCCUGUAACUGGCAGAAGGGC